GACGAACGCUGGCGGCAUGCUUAACACAUGCAAGUCGAACGGAACGGCCCUGCUUUUGUGGGGUGCUCGAGUGGCGAACGGGUGAGUAACACGUGAGUAACCUGCCCUUGACUUUGGGAUAACUUCAGGAAACUGGGUCUAAUACCGGCUAGGAGCUACUGCUGCUUGGUGGGGGCUAGAAAGUUUCGGCGGUUGGGGAUGGACUCGCGUCUUAUCAGCUUGUUGGUGGGGUAGUGGCUUACCAAGGCUUUGACGGGUAGCCGGCCUGAGAGGGCGACCGGCCACAUUGGGACGGAAAUACGACACAGACUCGUACGGGAGGCAGCAGAGAGGUGGAGUGCACUAGAGGCGGAAGCCUAGUGCGGCAACGCCGCGCGGGGGAAGAGAGGCAGCGGGUAGGGAUCCACUGUCGCCUGAGACGAGACGUUAGUGACGGUAAUGGGAGAAUAAGCACCGGCUAACUACGUG
Molecule: ribosomal RNA, 468 nt
Filed under: uncultured bacterium
Lineage: Bacteria
Description: partial 16S ribosomal RNA
Rfam family: Bacterial small subunit ribosomal RNA
Source: RNAcentral